RNAcentral lists this ribosomal RNA (791 nucleotides) under Apilactobacillus kunkeei. RNAcentral describes it as "bacterial SSU rRNA". It matches the Rfam family "Bacterial small subunit ribosomal RNA", at positions 587 to 1384 of the family's 1533-position model. Lineage: Bacteria; Bacillati; Bacillota; Bacilli; Lactobacillales; Lactobacillaceae. The record is from RNAcentral.
GUCUGCUGUGAAAGCCCUCAGCUCAACUGAGGAAGUGCAGUGGAAACUACAAAACUUGAGUACAGAAGAGGAAAGUGGAACUCCAUGUGUAGCGGUGAAAUGCGUAGAUAUAUGGAAGAACACCAGUGGCGAAGGCGGCUUUCUGGUCUGUUACUGACGCUGAGGCUCGAAAGCAUGGGUAGCGAACAGGAUUAGAUACCCUGGUAGUCCAUGCCGUAAACGAUGAAUACUAGGUGUUGGAGGGUUUCCGCCCUUCACUGCCGCAGCUAACGCAUUAAGUAUUCCGCCUGGGGAGUACGACCGCAAGGUUGAAACUCAAAGGAAUUGACGGGGGCCCGCACAAGUGGUGGAGCAUGUGGUUUAAUUCGAUGCUACGCGAAUAACCUUACCAGCUCUUGACAUCUUCUGCCAACCCAAGAGAUUGUGCGUUCCCUUCGGGGACAGAAUGACGGGUGGUGCAUGGUUGUCGUCAGCUCGUGUCGUGAGAUGUUGGGUUAAGUCCCGCAACGAGCGCAACCCUUAUUAUUAGUUGCCAGCAUUUAGUUGGGCACUCUAGUGAGACUGCCGGUGAUAAACCGGAGGAAGGUGGGGACGACCUCCAAUCAUCAUGCCCCUUAUGAGCUGGGCUACACACAUGCUACAAUGGAUGGUACAACGAGUCGCGAGACCGCGAGGUCAAGCUAAUCUCUUAAAGCCAUUCUCAGUUCGGAUUGCAGGCUGCUACUCGCCUGCAUGAAGUUGAAUCACUACUCAUCGUGGAUCACCAUGCCCGUGAUACGUUCCGGCCUUGU